GAGUUUGAUUCUGGCUCAGAUUGAACGCUGGCGGCAUGCUUUACACAUGCAAGUCGAACGGCAGCACAGGGAGCUUGCUCCUGGGUGGCGAGUGGCGAACGGGUGAGUAAUGUAUCGGAACGUGCCUGGUAGUGGGGGAUGACUACUCGAAAGAGUGGCUAAUACCGCAUGAGAUCUUUGGAUGAAAGCGGGGGACCUUCGGGCCUCGUGCUACUGGAGCGGCCGAUAUCAGAUUAGGUUGUUGGUGGGGUAAAGGCCUACCAAGCCUGCGAUCUGUAGCUGGUCUGAGAGGACGACCAGCCACACUGGGACUGAGACACGGCCCAGACUCCUACGGGAGGCAGCAGUGGGGAAUUUUGGACAAUGGGCGCAAGCCUGAUCCAGCAAUGCCGCGUGCAGGACGAAGGCCUUCGGGUUGUAAACUGCUUUUGUACAGAACGAAAAGUCUCUGGCUAAUAUCUAGAGAUCAUGACG
RNAcentral lists this ribosomal RNA (474 nucleotides) under Brachymonas sp. canine oral taxon 015. Its description in RNAcentral is "bacterial SSU rRNA". It matches the Rfam family "Bacterial small subunit ribosomal RNA", at positions 9 to 474 of the family's 1533-position model. Lineage: Bacteria; Pseudomonadati; Pseudomonadota; Betaproteobacteria; Burkholderiales; Comamonadaceae. The record is from RNAcentral.